GAUGAAGAACGCAACGAAAUGCGAUAAGUAAUGUGAAUUGCAGAAUUCAGUGAAUCAUCGAAUCUUUGAACGCACAUUGCGCCCCUUGGUAUUCCGGGGGGCAUGCCUGUUCGAGCGUCAUUACAACCCUCAAGCUCUGCUUGGUCUUGGGCGUCACCGGUCCCCGGUGUGCCUUAAAAUCAGUGGCGGCGCCAUCUGGCUCUAAGCGUAGUACAUACUCUCGCUACAGACGUCCGGUGGAUGCUGGCCAGCAACCCCCAAUUUAUCAAGGUUGACCUCGGAUCAGGUAGGGAUACCCGCUGAACUUAAGCAUAUCAAUAAGCGGAGGA
This 329-nucleotide unclassified non-coding RNA is filed under the name soil metagenome. Its description in RNAcentral is "partial contains 5.8S ribosomal RNA, internal transcribed spacer 2, and large subunit ribosomal RNA". The stretch from base 1 to 120 matches the Rfam family "5.8S ribosomal RNA", at positions 35 to 154 of the family's 154-position model. The record is from RNAcentral.